RNAcentral lists this ribosomal RNA (253 nucleotides) under uncultured bacterium. RNAcentral describes it as "partial 16S ribosomal RNA". It matches the Rfam family "Bacterial small subunit ribosomal RNA", at positions 524 to 776 of the family's 1533-position model. The record is from RNAcentral.
UACGUAGGGUGCGAGCGUUAAUCGGAAUUACUGGGUGUAAAGCGUGCGCAGGCGGUUUUUUAAGCCAGGUGUGAAAUCCCCGGGCUUAACCUGGGAAUGGCAUUUGGGACUGCAAGGCUUGAGUGCGGCAGAGGAGACUGGAAUUCCUGGUGUAGCAGUGAAAUGCGUAGAUAUCAGGAGGAACACCGAUGGCGAAGGCAGGUCUCUGGGCUGACACUGACGCUCAUGCACGAAAGCGUGGGGAGCAAACAGG